Molecule: long non-coding RNA, 3912 nt
Filed under: Sus scrofa (pig)
Lineage: Eukaryota; Metazoa; Chordata; Mammalia; Artiodactyla; Suidae
Description: lncRNA (ENSSSCG00000048767.1)
Source: RNAcentral
UUGAUCAAUUUUUGUUCUUAUCGGUCACUCUGCUAGCCAAGCUCCUCGCCAUGUUAAAGGAAAUAGGUGUCCCCACAGCUCUUUUGGGGUGACUGGGCCAGUUUGAACUCAUGGGCAGUCAAAACACUGUUUCACUAUCCAUGAUAUUCUGGCAUGAAAAGCUGCUCCAAACAAGGAUCCAUUGGCUUCAACACUAAGGGAAGGGAGCAGUUUGCAGUGAGAGUUGUUCAGAUUAUGUAAAAGAAAGAGGACUUGGAGUUGCCGUGUGGCUCCGUGGGUUAAGGAUCUGGCAUUGUCACUGCAGUGGCUCAGGUUGCUGCUGUGGUGCAGGUUUGAUCCCUGGCCAGGGACCUUCCACAUGCCGUGGGGGAGGCCAAAACAAUGAAUUAAUUAAAAGAGGCCUUAACUAUACUUCAAUAAACACAAAAAGAAAGAAAAGAAGGAAGGAAGAGAGGGAGGGAGGGAGAAAGAAAAAGAGAGGAAGGAAGAAAGGCAGGCAGGCAGGCCUUGAUGUUGAGCAGAGGCCAUGAGGAGCCUGAGCAGGCUGAAGCUGCGCAGAAUCAAUGGACACACAGACUGUAAGAAAAUACUGUGAGCAAAAGGUGGGAGAGGCGGUUGACAGUGAAAGAGAAUCAGAGAUGCCUAGAGGGGCAAACCUGCAGAGACUAAGCAGAGUAUGUUCCAGAAGACCCAGAAGCUCCGCCACCUGAGCUCUCAGAACGCUCUUGGCAUCUUGAUGUUUCCCAUUUCCAGGUUCCUUGAGCCUGGCUCUGACAGGCUCUACCCUUCCUGAAGCUGGAGUGUCCUGCUUUUCCUGGGUUCUCUGAGACUCGACCAUAAGGCUAAGACCACUGUCUGCUCCUUUCUAAAGGACUAGAUACAGCACAUUCUUCAUCACCUGAGGUGGCCUGAGCCUUAUUCUUAGUAUCUCGCGAGCAGGACUCGAAUGGUCACCUUGCCGUGAGGGCUUUGCCUCAGCACGGAAGGUGGGAUGGACACAGCUGAGCACCCUGGAAAAGGCAGGGUCUCCCAAGCACCCUGGUCUGACCUGCGGGCCAGGAUCUCCCACACAUGCGCUGAGACUUCCAGGCAAUUUACCUACUUCUGAGACUCAUCCUUCCCACCUCGAAAUGCUGUGGCUCAUGAUUGCUGCGGUGGCCAAGAAUGGUUUAUGUCAGCAGCUAGUGUGGUGCCUGACACAGCACUCAGUGCAAGUUCCCGCCCUUCCUUCUCUCAGGAUGCUUCCUGUCUUGUGCGAUAAACCCUAACCCACCUAGCACCCUUUAGGGGCAGCUAUGGAUAAAAUCGCCUGCUUCUUGUCUCCCUGGGUUCUGCUAUUUAAUUAUUCUGUGCUCCACAUUUAAAGAGUGAGAGUCAAUCUGGUCCAAACUACAAACAUGGAUUUGGGGGUCAGAGUUUGGGCCCAUUUCAUUUGCUAGCUACUGAGAGUUUAUUAGAAGAAAAUGGUAAAAAUCAACUUUAAUUUUUUAAAAAUGUUUAAAAAAGAAUAUUUAUAAGAAAAAGCAAAAUGUAACGGUUUACAAAAAGAAGAAAAUAGUAAGAAGCCCAUUACAAUGCAACCAGUUGAGCAGGGCGUUGGGGAUGGGGAGUUAUCUUUCUUAUACCUAUAUCGUCACACUGCCAUCAGCAGAUAUUUACUGAACUGCUGUCUGGCCAAGAGAGGACCACAGCACUGCAUGUGAUGAAAUUGUGGCUCAAAUCAAUUGAAUCAUAGCAAGUUUAUUUCGGGUUUCACUUAUUCAGGAUGUGCAAAUGUAUGCUGGUUAUUUGAACAAUGUACUUAAACACUGUAAAGAUGGUACUUAACUCUUUAACCAGAGCUUAACCAGGACUAAUUAAGACUUAGUCUAAAAGUGUCUCGUGUACAGGGAGGGCCAUAGUGUCCUGCAUCUAGACAGGGCUUAUUAAGUAUUUGUGGACAAGUGAUUCAAUAGCUGCUCUGUCUGCCACAGGAACCAACAAACAUCUGUAAAUCUUGCUGAGCUCAACUGGAGUAUCACUAUAUAAAAAAUAUGUGGUGGUAUUGCGAUUAUGGCAGGACCAAACUACCCUAAAAUUGUACACUGAAAAGGCAUCCAAACAUGUAUUUUUCCUAAGAAACUAAUCUGACGAUUUUCCCUGCUUGGACCUCUUUUUCCUGCAAGCCUUCAGACUAUUUUUUAAAAAAGAGAUCUGUAUAAAUCUCUCUGGAGCUUUUCUCUCUAAAUUCUUUGUUUUCUAAUAAUCUUAGAGAAGUGGCUUUCUGUGCCCUGCUGACCUCCUUCUCCUAAAACAAAACAAAGCAAAAAGCAAAAUGAAAACACAACCCAGAAAACUUAGCAUCCCCUAUAAUCUAACUAGGCAAUGGGAAAUAUGCACAUUCCACAAGCAUCCUCAAUUUAUUUCUUAGGCAUAAAAGAUAAGUGCAAGUGUAAUUAUCCCACCAACUUUAAGAUCUGCCUUAAAAAAAACCAUAAACCACAGCAUCAAUUAUUCUCUAAGGACAAUGAAAAGUGUUUUAUGAAAAAUCAGUGAGAAAACUUGAUAGAUCAUUCACCCUUCCUACCACACACAAAUGCUCCCCCCACCCCAAAUCUAUGCUAACUAAGUCCAUAAAUGCCAAGUUGAAUGAAGACUAACAUACCUGCUGCUGGAAGUUCACUACGCCUCUAGGUUAGGUCCUGGAAAGUUAGACAAGGUAGAGAUUGAUGUAGAAUCUAAAAUAAUAUUUACAUCCUCUGGGAGCCCUUGUCAUCUGUCAUGUCAUAUACACAUAGGUUCUGCGCCCUUGUCUAGAUAGUUUGGCAGAAUCUGUUUAAAUCAUCAAAAAUGUGGUUAAUUUAAAGACGUACUUUUCAAAUGGAAACGCUUCCUACGAGAAGCCCCACAGCAAGAGAACAAUCCAAAAUAGCCUGACUUAGGUGGCGUCCAAAUGCCGGUGCACACAGGGAGAAAAUGCCUCAUCAAGAAAAGGUCACGUUAAACUGGAAGAAUAAGACAUGGCCUGUGAUUACUCUCUCUCAAUUGACAUUUAGUUGUCAGGUAAGUAUCGCCAGACAAGCUAAUGGAUGGAAAGGAACAUCUUAAAGCAGAAGAAUCAAAGUUACUAAAUGCAUCCAAGAAAGACAAUGACUAGAACACUUCCGGUAGGAUCUAUACCGUGAAUCUGUGAAUCAGUGUCCUUAUACUGCUACAUUAACUAAAAUCCAGUUAUUUCUCAUGAUUAAAUGACUUGGGAUGGGGACCAAGAUGCACCAUUUUUCAGAAUUUCGUUUUUGAGACAUUUUUCUUCCAUCAUGAUCACCAUCAUCAGCCAACACUGAAGGGAUAACUGUGUAUUUCCUAUAACUGUGGCUUUCAUAUGACGAGGUGGUGUCCCUGCGAGCACAUUUAGGCUCUGUCCCUGCUGCUUCAGCUCCUAUUACUCUUUCUUUCUUUGGGAAAAGACCAUUCUGUUCCUUUUGGCAAUCCAUCCCAUGCUGGCCUAGAUUUGGUGUGCUUCGUGGCACCGUCAUGCCUAACAUGAUUCCCGGAUCUUACACGUCAUACUGCCUUCUUUUCUUCAUUCCUCUGGGACAGUGCUGAGCAGGUCACAGACUUUUGGCAGACAUUGCUGGAAGUGAAAUCAACCAAACACUUCUGUUCCUUAGGUUCUUUCCUUCCAAGAAUCCUCACUCUUCCUUUUCUGUGCCUCAGGCAAUGGUAACGCCAUCUUUCCCAUUAAGAAUCCUUACAGGAAAUGCCCCUUGUGGCUCAGCGGUGACGAACCCAACUAGUAUCCAUGAGGACAUGGUUCAAUCCCUGGCCUUGCUCAGUGGGUUAACGAUCUGGCGUUGCCGUGAGCUGUGGUGUGGGUCGCAGAUGCAGUUUGGAUCUGCUGUUGCUGUGACUGCAGCUCUGAUUCGACCCCUA